GCCAGCAGCUCCCACAGCAAAGCAGCAGCACGCCCACCCUGUGAGAGCAGCUGCAACCUCUCACUGCUGGGGCUCACAGGCCUCUGCACGCAGAGAAAGGCUCUGCAACCCACAGAACCAGUCAGGGAGGCUGGGUCCAGAGAGGAGCAACGUGAAGAGAGGCAACACAUAUAUUGUGGAAACAAAAAACAGCAAGGGAAAUGCUCUCUUAGGAGAGCACAACCAUUCCUAGACUGGAUAUCAGUGAGAGACUCUUCCCUGUGAGGGUGGGCAGGCCCUGGCACAGUGCCCAGAGCAGCUGUGGCUGCCCCUGGAUCCCUGGCAGUGCCCAAGGCCAGGCUGGACAGGGCUGGGAGCAGCCCGGGACAGUGGCAGGUGUCCCUGCCAUGGCAGGGGUGGGAUGGAUUGGCUUUAAGGUCCCUUCCCACCCAAAGCAUUCCCAGUUUCUAUGGCAGUCCCCACACGGAAAGCUCAGCACUGGGCACUGGUCACUUACUGUUCUGGAUGCCAAACAGGAAUAUUCCCGAGGUCUGCUGGGAUGAGGCAGGGGAAUUCUGCAGCUGGUUGAUGGCACCUCCCGCCGUGUUGUGGAACAGAGGAGCCUGCUGCUGGGGAGGAGAAGCAGUUCCUGGCAUUCCUGCCAUGCUGUUUUGGGAGGAGUACAUGGGGGACUGCUGCAGCUCCGGCUGGCUCAUGCUGUUCUGCAGGGCAGACAUGGAAGCUGAGGAGAUGAAGAGGGUGACUUGUUGCUCUUGAGAACUUGGGGACCCUUGGACCAGCUGAAUCUGGGGCGAGUUAUGGAAGAUGGUUGGCUGCUGUGCUUCAGCCUGGUUGGAGCCAGGAUUCUGGAGAGAAGACACUGUGGUCUGACUCUGGAAUUGCAUGGGCUGCUGUUCCUGAUUCAUCGAGGCCAUGUUGGACUGUGGAUGGAAAAUGGACUGGCCUUGCUGCUCCUGAUUGGUAACUGGGUUUUGGUUUGGAUUGAAAAUCAUGUUCUGCUUUUGGGGGGCCAUUGUACUCAUUGCAUUUUGAUUGCUGAACAUCAUGUUCUGCUGCUGCUGCUGCUGCUGCUCCUGAGAUGGAGGGCUGCUCUGGAUGGCAACAAUCGAAUGC
Molecule: long non-coding RNA, 1113 nt
Organism: Passer domesticus (house sparrow)
Lineage: Eukaryota; Metazoa; Chordata; Aves; Passeriformes; Passeridae
Exons: 2
Source: RefSeq, a predicted model, not a curated record